Molecule: ribosomal RNA, 440 nt
Filed under: uncultured bacterium
Lineage: Bacteria
Description: partial 16S ribosomal RNA
Rfam family: Bacterial small subunit ribosomal RNA
Source: RNAcentral
CCUACGGGUGGCAGCAGUGGGGGAUAUUGCACAAUGGGGGAAACCCUGAUGCAGCAACGCCGCGUGAGUGAAGAAGUAUUUCGGUAUGUAAAGCUCUAUCAGCAGGGAAGAGAAUGACGGUACCUGACUAAGAAGCCCCGGCUAACUACGUGCCAGCAGCCGCGGUAAUACGUAGGGGGCGAGCGUUAUCCGGAUUUACUGGGUGUAAAGGAUGCGUAGGCGGUUAAACAAGUUAUAUGUUAAAUAUAUAGGCUUAACCUGUAGAAAGCAUAUAAAACUGUUUAACUAGAGUGCAGGAGAGGUAAGUGGAAUUCCUAGUGUAGCGGUGAAAUGCGUAGAGAUUAGGAAGAACACCAGUGGCGAAGGCGACUUACUGGACUGUAACUGACGCUGAGGCAUGAGAGCAUGGGGAGCAAACAGGAUUAGAUACCCGAGUAGUC